GACGAACGCUGGCGGCGUGCCUAAUACAUGCAAGUAGGACGCACAGUUUAUACCGUAGCUUGCUACACCAUAGACUGUGAGUUGCGAACGGGUGAGUAACGCGUAGGUAACCUGCCUAUUAGAGGGGGAUAACUAUUGGAAACGAUAGCUAAUACCGCAUAACAGUAUGUAACACAUGUUAGAUGCUUGAAAGAUGCAAUUGCAUCGCUAGUAGAUGGACCUGCGUUGUAUUAGCUAGUAGGUAGGGUAAAGGCCUACCUAGGCAACGAUACAUAGCCGACCUGAGAGGGUGAUCGGCCACACUGGGACUGAGACACGGCCCAGACUCCUACGGGAGGCAGCAGUAGGGAAUCUUCGGCAAUGGGGGGAACCCUGACCGAGCAACGCCGCGUGAGUGAAGAAGGUUUUCGGAUCGUAAAGCUCUGUUGUUAAGGAAGAACG
This 441-nucleotide ribosomal RNA is filed under the name Streptococcus anginosus. RNAcentral's name for it is "bacterial SSU rRNA". It matches the Rfam family "Bacterial small subunit ribosomal RNA", at positions 28 to 451 of the family's 1533-position model. Lineage: Bacteria; Bacillati; Bacillota; Bacilli; Lactobacillales; Streptococcaceae. The record is from RNAcentral.